Molecule: ribosomal RNA, 494 nt
Filed under: uncultured bacterium
Lineage: Bacteria
Description: partial 16S ribosomal RNA
Rfam family: Bacterial small subunit ribosomal RNA
Source: RNAcentral
GACGAACGCUGGCGGCGUGCUUAACACAUGCAAGUCGAACGGAAAGGCCUGCUUUCCCCUGUGGAUUGCGGGUACUCGAGUGGCGAACGGGUGAGUAACACGUGAGUGAUCUGCCCCCAACUUGGGUAUAAGCCUGGGAAACUGGGUCUAAUUCCCGAUAGGACUGCAGGGUGGUGCCUGUGGUGGAAAACGAUUUUCUAGUGGUUGGGGAUGAGCUCGCGGCCUAUCAGCUUGUUGGUGGGGUAAUGGCCUACCAAGGCGGCGACGGGUAGCCGGCCUGAGAGGGUGGACGGACACAUUGGGACUGAGAUACGGCCCAGACUCCUACGGGAGGCAGCAGUGGGGAAUAUUGCACAAUGGGCGGAAGCCUGAUGCAGCGACGCCGCGUGGGGGAUGACGGCCUUCGGGUUGUAAACUCCUUUCGACCGCGAGGAAGCCACCUGGUUGGAAGGGUGGUGACGGUAGUGGUAGAAGAAGCACCGGCUAACUACGUG